GAACAACUCUCAGCAACGGAUAUCUCGGCUCUUGCAUCGAUGAAGAACGCAGCGAAAUGCGAUAAGUGGUGUGAAUUGCAGAAUCCCGUGAACCAUCGAGUCUUUGAACGCAAGUUGCGCCCAAGGCCAUCAGGCCAAGGGCACGCCUGCCUGGGCAUUGCGA
This 163-nucleotide ribosomal RNA is filed under the name Paphiopedilum armeniacum. RNAcentral's name for it is "5.8S ribosomal RNA". It matches the Rfam family "5.8S ribosomal RNA". Rfam says of the family: 5.8S ribosomal RNA (5.8S rRNA) is a component of the large subunit of the eukaryotic ribosome. It is transcribed by RNA polymerase I as part of the 45S precursor that also contains 18S and 28S rRNA. Lineage: Eukaryota; Viridiplantae; Streptophyta; Magnoliopsida; Asparagales; Orchidaceae. RNAcentral also lists the same sequence under 3 other names. The record is from RNAcentral.